GCAGCCGCGGUAAUACGUAGGGAGCAAGCGUUGUCCGGAAUGACUGGGCGUAAAGGGUACGUAGGUGGCUAUUCAAGUUAGUGGUGAAAUUCCGGGGCUCAACUCCGGCGCUACCACUAAGACUGUUUAGCUUGAGUGCAGGAGGGGUAAGUGGAAUUCCUAGUGUAGCGGUGGAAUGCGUAGAUAUUAGGAGGAACACCAGUGGCGAAGGCGACUUACUGGACUGUAACUGACACUGAAGUACGAAAGCGUGGGGAGCAAACAGGAUUAGAUACCCC
Molecule: ribosomal RNA, 278 nt
Filed under: uncultured Anaerolineaceae bacterium
Lineage: Bacteria; Bacillati; Chloroflexota; Anaerolineae; Anaerolineales; Anaerolineaceae
Description: partial 16S ribosomal RNA
Rfam family: Bacterial small subunit ribosomal RNA
Source: RNAcentral